GAUGAACGCUGGCGGCGUGCCUAAUACAUGCAAGUCGAGCGAACAGACGAGAGUGCUUGCACUCUCUGACGUUAGCGGCGGACGGGUGAGUAACACAUGGGUAACCUACCUAUAAGACUGGGAUAACUUCGGGAAGCCGGAGCUAAUACCAGAUAAUAUUUAGCUUCGCAUGAAGCAAUAGUGAAAGACGGUUCUGCUGUCACUUAUAGAUGGACCCGCGGUGUAUUAGCUGGUUGGUGAGGUAACGGCUCACCAAGUCAACGAUACAUAGCCGACCUGAGAGGGUGAUCGGCCACACUGGGACUGAGACACGGCCCAGACUCCUACGGGAGGCAGCAGUAGGGAAUCUUCCGCAAUGGACGAAAGUCUGACGGAGCAAUGCCGCGUGAGUGAAGAAGGUGUUCGGAUCGUAAAGCUCUGUUGUAAGGGAAGAACAAGUACGUUAGUAACUGAACGUACCUUGACGGUACCUUACCAGAAAGCCACGGCUAACUACGUG
Molecule: ribosomal RNA, 499 nt
Filed under: uncultured bacterium
Lineage: Bacteria
Description: partial 16S ribosomal RNA
Rfam family: Bacterial small subunit ribosomal RNA
Source: RNAcentral